This 253-nucleotide ribosomal RNA is filed under the name uncultured bacterium. RNAcentral describes it as "partial 16S ribosomal RNA". It matches the Rfam family "Bacterial small subunit ribosomal RNA", at positions 524 to 776 of the family's 1533-position model. The record is from RNAcentral.
UACGGGGGGAGCAAGCGUUGUUCGGAUUUACUGGGCGUAAAGGGCGCGUAGGCGGCGUGACAAGUCACUUGUGAAAUCUCCGGGCUUAACUCGGAACGGUCAAGUGAUACUGUCGUGCUAGAGUACAGAAGGGGCAACUGGAAUUCUCGGUGUAGCGGUGAAAUGCGUAGAUAUCGAGAGGAACACCUGCGGCGAAGGCGGGUUGCUGGGCUGAUACUGACACUGAGGAACGAAAGCCAGGGGAGCAAACGGG